Molecule: long non-coding RNA, 932 nt
Filed under: Marmota monax (woodchuck)
Lineage: Eukaryota; Metazoa; Chordata; Mammalia; Rodentia; Sciuridae
Source: RNAcentral
GAAAAACAGGUCAGCCCUGCCAAGUUGGCUCUUUCCCUCAGUGCCUGCGAAGAUCUGGGGAUGGAGGGUGGGAAGGCAGGAAAGGGCACCUGUUCCACCAGGCACAGGUAUGUGCAUGCCCUUUGCCCCUCGGGGACUUUCCAUGGGAUCUGGGACCAAGCUAUUUCAGGAAAGCCUUUCGACAUCAGGAGCAGCACCAGGGAGAGGUAGACGCGGCUGUGUUUGUUUUGCUUUUUCUCUCUUACUCCCCAAGAUGGGUUUGGCAAUCGCGUAUGAGCCGUGUAAUCCUCCCUCUGGGCCUUCCUCAGCACAGCCUGUCCCCGAGGACACCAAAGGUUACCAGACACACCAGGGCCUGGUUUAGCUCUGAGUUGAGACUGGGCACAAAGCCUCCUGGGACACCAUCCGGGGGGUUACGUCACCAGGACAGGUAGGUGCCUGUCAGACAGCUCUCCAGGCCUGGAAGGGAACCAGGAAACCCAGAUCUGCCGAGGCUCAUUGUACCCAUGAGACCCUGGGAGCCCACCGGGGAACCUUCCCUGGCCCGGGACUCCACAUGGCAUGUCCCAUGGGCUGGUCAGCUUUCCAUCACUGUGAAAUGCCUGACAGGAACAAGUCAGAGGAGGAAAGGUUUAUCUUGGCUCAUGUUUUAUGAGGUUUCAGACCAUGGUUGGCCAACUCGAUUGCUCUAGACCCCAGAUGAGCAUUAAUCCACCAAAUGGAUUAAUCCACUGAUAGGCUCAGAGCCCUCAUGAUCCAAUUGUUGCCUAAAAGCCCCGACACAAGAGAGUUGGGGAAGAUUUCAGAUCCAAACCCUAACACCCCAGAAAGGGUCACCUAGAAAGCAGGCCUCAAGUGGGGCUCUCAGCGUCUCACGCAGGUGCUCCUGCCUGGUCAGGCGCAGACCCCUCGGGGACAUCCGCACCGUGUUC